Molecule: ribosomal RNA, 465 nt
Filed under: uncultured bacterium
Lineage: Bacteria
Description: partial 16S ribosomal RNA
Rfam family: Bacterial small subunit ribosomal RNA
Source: RNAcentral
GACGAACGCUGGCGGCGUGCUUAACACAUGCAAGUCGUACGGUAAGGCCCUUUCGGGGGUACACGAGUGGCGAACGGGGGAGUAACACGUGAGUAACCUGCCCACAACUUUGGGAUAACGCUAGGAAACUGGUGCUAAUACUGGAUAUGUGCCCCUGCUGCAUGGUGGGGGUUGGAAAGCUCCGGCGGUUGUGGAUGGACUCGCGGCCUAUCAGCUUGUUGGUGGGGUAGUGGCCUACCAAGGCGGCGAGGGGUAGCUGGCCUGAGAGGGUGACCGGCCACAUUGGGACUGAGAUACGGCACAGACUCCUACGGGAGGCAGCAGGGGGGAAUAUUGCACAAUGGGCGCAAGCCUGAUGCAGCAACGCCGCGUGCGGGAUGACGGCCUUCGGGUUGUAAACCGCUUUCAGCAGGGACGAAGCUUUUUGUGACGGUACCUGCAGAAGAAGCACCGGCUAACUACGUG